RNAcentral lists this ribosomal RNA (429 nucleotides) under Chloroflexota bacterium. RNAcentral describes it as "Chloroflexi bacterium partial 16S ribosomal RNA". It matches the Rfam family "Bacterial small subunit ribosomal RNA", at positions 355 to 776 of the family's 1533-position model. The record is from RNAcentral. Lineage: Bacteria; Bacillati; Chloroflexota.
UGGGGAAUAUUGCACAAUGGGCGCAAGCCUGAUGCAGCCAUGCCGCGUGUAUGAAGAAGGCCUUCGGGUUGUAAAGUACUUUCAGCGGGGAGGAAGGGAGUAAAGUUAAUACCUUUGCUCAUUGACGUUACCCGCAGAAGAAGCACCGGCUAACUCCGUGCCAGCAGCCGCGGUAAUACGGAGGGUGCAAGCGUUAAUCGGAAUUACUGGGCGUAAAGCGCACGCAGGCGGUUUGUUAAGUCAGAUGUGAAAUCCCCGGGCUCAACCUGGGAACUGCAUCUGAUACUGGCAAGCUUGAGUCUAGUAGAGGGGGGUAGAAUUCCAGGUGUAGCGGUGAAAUGCGUAGAGAUCUGGGGGAAUACCGGUGGCGAAGGCGGCCCCCUGGACGAAGACUGACGCUCAGGUGCGAAAGCGUGGGGAGCAAACAGG